RNAcentral lists this ribosomal RNA (732 nucleotides) under uncultured bacterium. RNAcentral's name for it is "bacterial SSU rRNA". It matches the Rfam family "Bacterial small subunit ribosomal RNA", at positions 36 to 763 of the family's 1533-position model. The record is from RNAcentral.
CUGGCGGCAGGCCUAACACAUGCAAGUCGAGCGGUAGAGAGAAGCUUGCUUCUCUUGAGAGCGGCGGACGGGUGAGUAAUGCCUAGGAAUCUGCCUGGUAGUGGGGGAUAACGUUCGGAAACGGACGCUAAUACCGCAUACGUCCUACGGGAGAAAGCAGGGGACCUUCGGGCCUUGCGCUAUCAGAUGAGCCUAGGUCGGAUUAGCUAGUUGGUGAGGUAAUGGCUCACCAAGGCGACGAUCCAUAACUGGUCUGGGAGGAUGAUCAGUCACACUGGAACUGAGACACGGUCCAGACUCCUACGGGAGGCAGCAGUGGGGAAUAUUGGACAAUGGGCGAAAGCCUGAUCCAGCCAUGCCGCGUGUGUGAAGAAGGUCUUCGGAUUGUAAAGCACUUUAAGUUGGGAGGAAGGGUUGUAGAUUAAUACUCUGCAAUUUUGACGUUACCGACAGAAUAAGCACCGGCUAACUCUGUGCCAGCAGCCGCGGUAAUACAGAGGGUGCAAGCGUUAAUCGGAAUUACUGGGCGUAAAGCGCGCGUAGGUGGUUUGUUAAGUUGGAUGUGAAAUCCCCGGGCUCAACCUGGGAACUGCAUUCAAAACUGACUGACUAGAGUAUGGUAGAGGGUGGUGGAAUUUCCUGUGUAGCGGUGAAAUGCGUAGAUAUAGGAAGGAACACCAGUGGCGAAGGCGACCACCUGGACUAAUACUGACACUGAGGUGCGAAAGCGUG